AUGCUGAUGUGCCGUAGUAUAGACAUUUUUUCAUCUCACUUACUCAUUACUCAGUCCAAGGACCCAGUGGUGAGGAGGGUUGCACCCACAGUUAACGCAGGGAGGAAAUGGAAACCAAAACAAGCGGUCCAGCAAGCUCAAUCGGCACUUAGACAUAGAAAUAUUAUGGGCCAUGUUCAGCACGGGCGGGGGGGCUUAGGGAGGGACGUAGGUAAACCCUCGUGGGGUAAGGCUUCUGCAGGGGAAAGGAGAAAAAUGGUAGUGGAGGAAAUACAUAGGCAGGAGGAGAUUGUAAGAUGUACUAAGGCAGUGUCACAGGCAAAACAAGGGCAGUGGGUGAAUUGGGAGGGAGUGGAGAAGAAGAAGAUAAAGUGGAGAGAUCUAUGGAGCAUGGAGGCUAGCAGGAUCAGAUUUAUGAUAGGUGCCACUUAUGAUGUGCUCCCAUCUCCCCAGAACUUAAAUCAGUGGUAUGGUGAGGAUGAGACAUGCACACUAUGUUCCUGUGUAUGCAGCGUCCGCCAUAUCCUAUCAGGGUGCAAGGUAAGUCUCUCCCAGGGGCGGUAUACGUGGCGUCACAACCAGGUAUUGAAAUGUUUGGCAGAGGCUGUUGAUGAUAAACGGGGCGAAGCUAAUUCAUCAGCCGCUAGUAAAGAGGGUAGGCAAAUUAACUUUGUGCAUCAGGGGGAAAAGGCUAGACCAUUUAGAGGCAGGCACAGAGUCGGGCAGCUAAGUAAUGGAGGAGCCUGGGAAUUGAAGGCGGAUCUUAUUCAGCAGGUUGUUGUGCCUCCACACAUUGUUAGCACUCGGCUAAGACCAGAUAUGCUAUUGUGGUCAGACUUAGAGAAGAUUGUUUAUUUUAUUGAACUUACAGUUCCUUGGGAAGACAGAGUUGAAGUAGCUAAUGAGCUUAAGAAAGCGAAGUAUGCUGAGAUGGCUGAAGAGGCAGCACAGAGAGGCUGGAGUUCGCGACUAAGGCCUAUUGAAAUCGGUGCACGGGGGUUUGUGGCUAGAUCUGCUAUUAGCUUGCUGACUGAACUGGGUAUUUGUGGACGAAGUCUGAGGCAGGCGGUUAGUAACAUGUCCGUGGCAGCAGAACGAGCAAGUGAAUGGCUGUGGGUAAGGAGAAAACAUACUUCCUGGGGUGCAAGCUGA
This 1152-nucleotide long non-coding RNA is filed under the name Gadus morhua (Atlantic cod). RNAcentral's name for it is "lncRNA (ENSGMOG00000027887.1)". The record is from RNAcentral. Lineage: Eukaryota; Metazoa; Chordata; Actinopteri; Gadiformes; Gadidae.